This 804-nucleotide ribosomal RNA is filed under the name uncultured bacterium. RNAcentral's name for it is "bacterial SSU rRNA". It matches the Rfam family "Bacterial small subunit ribosomal RNA", at positions 97 to 916 of the family's 1533-position model. The record is from RNAcentral.
GGCGAACGGGUGCGUAACACGUGAGGAACCUGCCCCGGUCUCUGGAAUAACAAGUGGAAACACUUGCUAAUACCGGAUGCCGUCUGACCACCGCAUGGUGGACCGACGAAAGAUUUAUCGGAUCGGGAGGGUCUCGCGGCCUAUCAGCUUGUUGGUGAGGUAACGGCUCACCAAGGCAUCGACGGGUAGCUGGUCUGAGAGGAUGAUCAGCCACACUGGGACUGAGACACGGCCCAGACUCCUACGGGAGGCAGCAGUAGGGAAUCUUGCACAAUGGGCGAAAGCCUGAUGCAGCAACGCCGCGUGCGGGAAGAAGGCCUUAGGGUUGUAAACCGCUUUCAGCAGGGAAGAAGAUGACGGUACCUGUAGAAGAAGGUGCGGCCAACUACGUGCCAGCAGCCGCGGUGACACGUAGGCACCAAGCGUUGUCCGGAUUUAUUGGGCGUAAAGAGCUCGUAGGCGGUUCGGUAAGUCGGGUGUGAAAACUCUGGGCUCAACCCAGAGCCGCCACCCGAUACUGCUGUGACUCGAGUGCGGUAGGGGAGCGGGGAAUUCCUGGUGUAGCGGUGAAAUGCGCAGAUAUCAGGAGGAACACCAGUGGCGAAGGCGCCGCUCUGGGCCGUGACUGACGCUGAGGAGCGAAAGCGUGGGUAGCAAACAGGAUUAGAUACCCUGGUAGUCCACGCCGUAAACGUUGGGCACUAGGUGUGGGUCUCAACCAACGAGAUCCGCGCCGUCGCUAACGCAUUAAGUGCCCCGCCUGGGGAGUACGGCCGCAAGGCUAAAACUCAAAGGAAUUGACGG